AAUGUGUCUGUUCUUAUGCAAAUAAUAUGCUGCUUUGCAAUCCAGGAGCUUUUGUGUAACCUAAUAUCUAGAGAACACUCUAAUAGAAUUCUUUUUUAUUAGUUCUUCAAAACAUUACAUAGCUCUUGACAUAUCAUAUUUCAUACAUUUGAUUCAAGUGGGUUAUGAACUCCCAUUUUUCCCCCCGUAUACAGAUUGCAGAAUCACAUUGGUUACACAUCCACGUUUUUAGGUACUAGUGUCUGUUGUAGUCUGCUGUCUUUCCUAUCCUCUACAUCCCCCCUCCCCUCCCCUCCCCUCCCAUCUUCUCUCUCUACCCCAUCUACUGUACUUCAUUUCUUUCCCUUGUAUCCCCCCCUUUCCCUUCAACUCCUCUUAUAUGUAAUUUUGUAUAAUGAUGAGAGUCUCCUUCCAUUUCCAUGCAAUUUCCCCUCUCUCUCCCAUUCCCUCCCACCUCUCAUCCCUGUUUAAUGUUAAUCUUCUUUUCAUGCUCUUCCUCCCUGCGCUGUAUGCUCAUGAAUUAAUAUCAGUUUUUAGUAUUACCUACCUGUGUGAAAAGACAAUUGCAAAGAUUAAAUAUGCACAAGUUCUUUGUGGAUCAUCAUUAAAACAUGAAUAUGAACAAUUGGCUUUGAGAGGUAGCAAUAACUUUGAACUCAAAUAAAUAAAAUGUCUCAAAGGAAAAAUAAUGUAAUUCUGAUUGGCAGGCUUUUAUUGCAAAAAUUUUUACUCAAUUGUUGUUAUAGUUUAUUCUUGUCAAAAAACUAAUUAGGGAGGAAUCAUAUCUGCCACGUGUCAC
Molecule: long non-coding RNA, 799 nt
Filed under: Marmota monax (woodchuck)
Lineage: Eukaryota; Metazoa; Chordata; Mammalia; Rodentia; Sciuridae
Source: RNAcentral